AACGAACGCUGGCGGCAUGCCUAACACAUGCAAGUCGAACGAGACCUUCGGGUCUAGUGGCGCACGGGUGCGUAACGCGUGGGAACCUGCCUUUAGGUUCGGAAUAACUGAGGGAAACUUCAGCUAAUACCGUAUACGCCCUACGGGGGAAAGAUUUAUCGGAAUUGGAUGGGCCCGCGUUGGAUUAGCUAGUUGGUGGGGUAAUGGCCUACCAAGGCGACGAUCCAUAGCUGGUCUGAGAGGAUGAUCAGCCACACUGGGACUGAGACACGGCCCAGACUCCUACGGGAGGCAGCAGUGGGGAAUUUUGGACAAUGGGCGCAAGCCUGAUCCAGCAAUGCCGCGUGCAGGGAGAAGGCCUUCGGGUUGUAAACUGCUUUUGUACGGAACGAAAAAGUCCGGGUUAAUACCCUGGGCCCAUGACGGUACCGUAAGAAUAAGCACCGGCUAACUACGUG
Molecule: ribosomal RNA, 458 nt
Filed under: uncultured bacterium
Lineage: Bacteria
Description: bacterial SSU rRNA
Rfam family: Bacterial small subunit ribosomal RNA
Source: RNAcentral